GGGAUCACUUCAGCAGCACAUAUACUAAAAUUGGAACAAUACAGAGAUUAGCAUGGCUCCUGUGCAAGGAUGAUAUGCAGAUUCGUGAAGCAUUCUAUAUUUUU
Sapajus apella (tufted capuchin) is the source of this 104-nucleotide small nuclear RNA. The record is from RefSeq and is a predicted model, not a curated record. NCBI's taxonomy places the organism in Eukaryota, Metazoa, Chordata, Mammalia, Primates, Cebidae.